UGGCGGCGUGCCUAAUACAUGCAAGUCGAGCGGACCAAUAGAAAAGCUUGCUUUUCUUGAGGUUAGCGGCGGACGGGUGAGUAACACGUGGGCAACCUACCUGUAAGACUGGGAUAACUUACGGAAACGUGAGCUAAUACCGGAUAGUUUCACUUCUCGCAUGAGAAGUGAAGGAAAGAUGGCUUUUAGCUAUCACUUACAGAUGGGCCCGCGGCGCAUUAGCUAGUUGGUGGGGUAAAGGCCUACCAAGGCGACGAUGCGUAGCCGACCUGAGAGGGUGAUCGGCCACACUGGGACUGAGACACGGCCCAGACUCCUACGGGAGGCAGCAGUAGGGAAUCUUCCGCAAUGGACGAAAGUCUGACGGAGCAACGCCGCGUGAGCGAAGAAGGUCUUCGGAUCGUAAAGCUCUGUUGUUAGGGAAGAACAAGUACCGGAGUAACUGUCGGUACCUUGACGGUACCUAACCAGAAAGCCACGGCUAAC
This 486-nucleotide ribosomal RNA is filed under the name bacterium SSCA28. RNAcentral's name for it is "bacterial SSU rRNA". It matches the Rfam family "Bacterial small subunit ribosomal RNA", at positions 37 to 501 of the family's 1533-position model. The record is from RNAcentral.